Molecule: small RNA, 120 nt
Filed under: Vibrio gallaecicus
Lineage: Bacteria; Pseudomonadati; Pseudomonadota; Gammaproteobacteria; Vibrionales; Vibrionaceae
Description: t44 RNA
Rfam family: t44 RNA
About the family: This family consists of a number of bacterial RNA genes of between 135 and 170 bases in length.
Source: RNAcentral
AAUUAUCUUUAAAUCACACACAUUUCGACACAUGCUCCGGGGUGCCUCAACAAUAAAACUGCUUGUGCUUAAACAAGUAGAUGUUAGGGGUCGGAUUUAUGGGAAAUGUGGAGGCCUAAC